Molecule: long non-coding RNA, 412 nt
Organism: Pseudophryne corroboree (corroboree frog)
Lineage: Eukaryota; Metazoa; Chordata; Amphibia; Anura; Myobatrachidae
Exons: 3
Source: RefSeq, a predicted model, not a curated record
CGUGUAUGAGGCCAGCAGCAGCAGAAGCUGACCUCUCGCUCUGCUCCUCAGCUCUCACUGCUGCCUUCCCACACUGUCCUGGGGUCGUCCUCCAGUCUGCUCCUAAGAGGAAGGAACAACAUAGCCAGCAGGACAGCUAUAUCCUGGUCUCAAAUGAGAAUCCCCGGAAGAGUUCCUGGUGGACGGAACUGAUUGGUGACUCACAGGCUGAUGAUGUGGCUGACAGAAGAUCUGAGAACGCCAGUUGUGAAAGCGACUUCUUAGGUGGCUGCAGAGAGAAGAACGCCGCAGCCCGGCCGCCUCCAGCGUCGGGUAACCAGGACAACGACGUAUGCACGGAGCGCACUGUGCAUGACGUCACACAUUGGAGACGGAAGAAGGGAUGGACCGCAAACGGCCGGGCGGGCGUGAA